RNAcentral lists this ribosomal RNA (897 nucleotides) under uncultured bacterium. RNAcentral describes it as "bacterial SSU rRNA". It matches the Rfam family "Bacterial small subunit ribosomal RNA", at positions 66 to 984 of the family's 1533-position model. The record is from RNAcentral.
ACGAGAGAUUGCUAGCUUGCUAAUAAUUCUCUAGUGGCGCACGGGUGAGUAACACGUGAGUAACCUGCCCCCGAGAGCGGGAUAGCCCUGGGAAACUGGGAUUAAUACCGCAUAGUAUCGAAAGAUUAAAGCAGCAAUGCGCUUGGGGAUGGGCUCGCGGCCUAUUAGUUAGUUGGUGAGGUAACGGCUCACCAAGGCGAUGGCGGGUAGCCGGUCUGAGAGGAUGUCCGGCCACACUGGAACUGAGACACGGUCCAGACACCUACGGGUGGCAGCAGUCGAGAAUCAUUCACAAUGGGGGAAACCCUGAUGGUGCGACGCCGCGUGGGGGAAUGAAGGUCUUCGGAUUGUAAACCCCUGUCAUGUGGGAGCAAAUUAAAAAGAUAGUACCACAAGAGGAAGAGACGGCUAACUCUGUGCCAGCAGCCGCGGUAAUACAGAGGUCUCAAGCGUUGUUCGGAAUCACUGGGCGUAAAGCGUGCGUAGGCUGUUUCGUAAGUCGUGUGUGAAAGGCGCGGGCUCAACCCGCGGACGGCACAUGAUACUGCGAGACUAGAGUAAUGGAGGGGGAACCGGAAUUCUCGGUGUAGCAGUGAAAUGCGUAGAUAUCGAGAGGAACACUCGUGGCGAAGGCGGGUUUCUGGACAUUAACUGACGCUGAGGCACGAAGGCCAGGGGAGCGAAAGGGAUUAGAUACCCCUGUAGUCCUGGCAGUAAACGGUGCACGCUUGGUGUGCGGGGAAUCGACCCCCUGCGUGCCGGAGCUAACGCGUUAAGCGUGCCGCCUGGGGAGUACGGUCGCAAGAUUAAAACUCAAAGAAAUUGACGGGGACCCGCACAAGCGGUGGAGUAUGUGGCUUAAUUCGAUGCAACGCGAAGAACCUUACCUGGGCUUGA